CCUACGGGUGGCAGCAGUGAGGAAUAUUGGUCAAUGGGCGCGAGCCUGAACCAGCCAAGUCGCGUGAAGGAUGACUGCCCUACGGGUUGUAAACUUCUUUUAUACAGGAAUAAAGUGCGGCACGUGUGCCUUUUUGUAUGUACUUUAUGAAUAAGGAUCGGCUAACUCCGUGCCAGCAGCCGCGGUAAUACGGAGGCUCCGAGCGUUAUCCGGAUUUAUUGGGUUUAAAGGGAGCGUAGAUGGGUUGUUAAGUCAGUUGUGAAAGUUUGCGGCUCAACCGUAAAAUUGCAAUUGAUACUGGCAGCCUUGAGUACAGUUGAGGUAGGCGGAAUGCGUGGUGUAGCGGUGAAAUGCUUAGAUAUCACGAAGAACCCCGAUUGCGAAGGCAGCUUACUAAACUGUGACUGACAUUGAGGCUCGAAAGUGUGGGUAUCAAACAGGAUUAGAUACCCGGGUAGUC
Molecule: ribosomal RNA, 460 nt
Filed under: uncultured bacterium
Lineage: Bacteria
Description: partial 16S ribosomal RNA
Rfam family: Bacterial small subunit ribosomal RNA
Source: RNAcentral